CACCAUGGACACAAGCAAGGACUGAUUGGUGGUUCUUGGUAGCGGUGCCGAGCAUCGGCGGAUCGAAGUGGUCGAGGUCGCGGUUAAUCCACCCGGACGAGACAUGCAUCUUGGAGCUAGCGCAGAGGGGGGAAGAAGCAGGUUGGUAUGGCCCGGUAUGUCCAGUUCUUCCCAUGAAGGUCACAUGCCUAACUUCGUGCUAGACAUUGCUAACUUAGCCACUUGAUGUUAAACUCUGUAUGUGUAACUAGACCUAGCACCACACAAUGAUUCGAUUCGAUGUGUUAAAUUAAAGUACCAAUUACGCAUGUUCACCCCUUUGUACAUGUGUGCUCUUGCAUUGCUUACUAUAUCUUGCUUUAUAUGAUGGCCCAUUGUCAGCUAUACAACUUUUGAAUCCUGUCAAGUUCAGUUCAGAUUUGAUUUUUUUUCACCACUUUUUGCAUGGACAAUGUGUCUGGUGUUUAAAUAAUGGCUACUUGAAAUUCAUAGGCAUUGUGAGGUCAGAAAGUAUUCCAUUUUGACUCCAUUAUUCAGUAUGGUUCAAAGUUGUUAGUUGCUACACCUACAUGUGGAAAACUUAUGGCAUUCUAAAAUUAAGCAGCAACAUUUAUUGCCGGUCAUUUAAAAUUGCAGUGACAAGACAACUGCUGACACAGAGUUCUACCUCUCUGACUGAAACAGGAACUUUCGCUCAAAGAAAACACACACAGGGCAGGAACAUGACUACUCUUCCCCUUCCAAGUUUCUGAUCGAUCGAACUCUUUGGUGACCAGAAAAUGAGAAAAAGGCAGGCCGUCGAUGUACAGACCAUAGGUGCUCGGACGCACGGCCGGCAUCAUGGUCGCCAUAACUCACAACCCAUGAGGUGGUGACCAAGCAAGAAAGGAAG
Molecule: long non-coding RNA, 892 nt
Filed under: Triticum aestivum (bread wheat)
Lineage: Eukaryota; Viridiplantae; Streptophyta; Magnoliopsida; Poales; Poaceae
Description: long non-coding RNA (TAES_LNC009534)
Source: RNAcentral